AUCACCUAAUAUGCUUAAUUGGUAGUAGGCUUUCGAGCCUAUACAGCUUGGAGUAAGACAACAUGCAUAAAGAGGAUGAUGUGGUCAAAAUACUCAUUUGCCUAAUAAUUCUGCACUCCCUGUAUAUGCAGAGGGAGAGGUGAAGCUUUGCAUUCAAUAUAGAGAAAGAUUUUAACCCCUUAAGGACCAAACUUAAAUAAAUAAAAGGGAAUCAUGACAUGUCAUGUGUCCUUAAGGGGUUAAAGGAAAACUCCAAGAGCCAUAACCACUACAUACAGACUGUUGUAGUAAUUAUGGAAACAGGGGAGCUCUGGAGCUUUCCAUGAUAAAUAGUAAAAUUGCAUAACUCACGAGUCUUAUGUGCUCCUGUUCCGCAUCCAGCUUCUCCUGCAUGAGUUCUCCUCUGAGCUGUACUCAUUGGCUGAGAAUGCUCAGCUGAUGCGCUCUG
Molecule: non-coding RNA, 448 nt
Organism: Pelobates cultripes (western spadefoot toad)
Lineage: Eukaryota; Metazoa; Chordata; Amphibia; Anura; Pelobatidae
Source: the annotation of a GenBank genome assembly